RNAcentral lists this ribosomal RNA (504 nucleotides) under Chryseobacterium indoltheticum. RNAcentral's name for it is "bacterial SSU rRNA". It matches the Rfam family "Bacterial small subunit ribosomal RNA", at positions 100 to 621 of the family's 1533-position model. Lineage: Bacteria; Pseudomonadati; Bacteroidota; Flavobacteriia; Flavobacteriales; Weeksellaceae. The record is from RNAcentral.
AGGCGGGUGGGAACACGUGUGCAACGCCUUUAUCAGGGGAUAGCCUUGAAAGGAAGAUUAUACCCCAUAUAUUGAGGCAUCACUUGAUAUUGAAAACUACGGGAUAGAGAUGGGCACGCGCAAGAUUAGAUAGUUGGUAGGGUAACGGCCUACCAAGUCAAUGAUCUUUAGGGGGCCUGAGAGGGUGAUCCCCCACACUGGUACUGAGACACGGACCAGACUCUACGGGAGGCAGCAGUGAGGAAUAUUGGACAAUGGGUGAGAGCCUGAUCCAGCCAUCCCGCGUGAAGGACGACGGCCCUAUGGGUUGUAAACUUCUUUUGUAUAGGGAUAAACCUUUCCUCGUGAGGAAAGCUGAAGGUACUAUACGAAUAAGCACCGGCUAACUCCGUGCCAGCAGCCGCGGUAUACGGAGGGUGCAAGCGUUAUCCGGAUUUAUUGGGUUUAAAGGGUCCGUAGGCGGAUCUGUAAGUCAGUGGUGAAAUCUCAUAGUCACUAUGAAAC